UGUGUGUGUGUGUGUGUGUGUGUGUAAAGACAGGGGUCUUCCUACAUUUCCCAGGCUGGUCUUGAACUCCUGGCAUCAAGCAAUCCUUCCACCUUGGCCUCCCAAAGUGCUGGGAUUACAGGUGUGAUUCACUGCGUCCAGCCCUAGUUGACACUCUGUAUGUGGUAGGCAUUACUACGAGAUGUUCAGAUCCCUCAUAAAUAAGAGUGUCCUUUUAUAAAACUCUACAGCAUACACUUAUGUUCCAUUUUAUCUUGUCUUCCCUAGAGAUGAGUCAAUUGAGCAGGAGACAGUGUAAGCAGCUGUGGGGGUGUUGAGUACUCCCUCCUGCCUGUGGGAGCUGCACCAUGGAGUCUAGCUUGUUAUCCUCCAGAGGCAGAGCCCCACAUCCCUGCCUCCUCUUGGUACAGAUGGACAGCCAUGGUGGUGGAGGCUGCAGAGCUGAGCAGGUGAUACUGGGCAGCGACCCUGCUGCGGGCAGGGUCCACACCCCAUAGCUCUUUCCUGCAUUUAUUUAACAAGCGACAUUGAGCCAGCAAUCUCUGUUGAAAAGUGCUCAGCCCUGGAGACAGAACUGUGAACAACGUGGACACAGCUCCUGCUUUGUGAAGCUUGGUGUCUGGCUGGGGUAAAAAUAAACAAGCAGUUACAACACAGUUACGAUCCCUACUGUAACGGAGGAGAGAUGGCAGCCAAAUUUCUGGGCCAGGCUACAGAGAGUUUGGGGGUGUUCAGAGAAAGCCUUCUGCAGGAAGUAAUAGCAAAGCUAAGGUUUGAAGGGUGACUAGAGCUCAGUCAGGCAGAAGGCUCAGGACGCUUCCAAAGAGAACAGUACAUGUGAGCUCAGAGGUGAAAGCUCCCUCUGGGUGGGGCAAACAGGAGACUUGGGCAGGGUCUGAUCUGGGAGAGGCUUGUGAGCCCAGGCAAGGGUUUUGCUUGCUAUUCAGGGGCUUUGGGCGUGCCUUUAAAAGUUUUCAGCAAGGAGACAAGAUGACUGGUUCUUCCUUUUAGAAAGAUCAGAGACAGAUGGGGAGCAAGAGAAAAGAGGAGACUGGAGGCCCGUUCAAAGGCUGUCACAAUAGAUAAAGCACGAGAUGAUGGUUGAACGGAUCAGGAAAGUGACCGUGAGGAUGAAGAGAAAGGAGACAGAUGUGAGAGAUACUUAGGAGGACAAAUCUGUGGGGCAUGGUGGGAGGGGGAGGUAGGCAUCCAGGACAACACCCAGACUUCUGGUUUGAAUAAGGAGUGGGCUUCCCCAAGACCAGCAACACCAGAGGAGUAGCAGGCUUUCGGGAAAGGAUAAGAGGCCACCACUGGACAAGGUGAGCAUUAGGCACAAGUGAGAUGUCUAUGCAGAGUUGUCUGGGAGGAGCAGGAUACAGAUCUGGAGUUUAGGACAGAUUUUGACUAGAAAUACAGAUUUUGGAAUUACUGGCACAUACAUGCAACUAAGAUAUGAACGUGUACUACAAUGAGAAGAAAAGGUCAAGGAGACAGAGUCUACCCGAGAGGUAGGCAGGCCAAGGGAGAACUCCCAAGGAAGAUUCAAGUUGGAACACUCGAGGGGUACGAGGAAAUUCAGGAGAUCUGACACUCGGGGGGAAUUUCAGGCAGGGAGGAGGGUAAAUUGUAUCUCAUGCUGCCUGGAAGUCAAGUGAGGUAAAGAUGUAAGAGUCCACUGGGUUAGCAACCAGAUAGUGACAUUGGUGAGUGUGGUUUCAGAGAAGGGGUGGGGCAGAGGCAGACUGCCUAGAGAGGAGAA
Molecule: long non-coding RNA, 1762 nt
Organism: Macaca fascicularis (crab-eating macaque)
Lineage: Eukaryota; Metazoa; Chordata; Mammalia; Primates; Cercopithecidae
Source: Ensembl